GUACUGCGAAACUGCGAAUGGCUCAUUAAAUCAGUUAUCGUCUAUUUGAUAGUACCUUACUACUUGGAUAACCGUGGUAAUUCUAGAGCUAAUACAUGCUGCAAAGCCCGACUUCGGAAGGGUUGUAUUUAUUAGAUUAAAAACCAAUGCCCUCCGGGGCUCACUGGUGAUUCAUGAUAACUUCUCGAAUCGCACGGCCUUGCGCCGGCGAUGGUUCAUUCAAAUUUCUGCCCUAUCAACUUUCGACGGCUGGGUAUUGGCCAGCCGUGGUGACAACGGGUAACGGAGGGUUAGGGCUCGACCCCGGAGAAGGAGCCUGAGAAACGGCUACUACAUCCAAGGAAGGCAGCAGGCGCGCAAAUUACCCAAUCCCGACACGGGGAGGUAGUGACAAUAAAUACUGAUACAGGGCUCUUUUGGGUCUUGUAAUUGGAAUGAGUACAAUUUAAUUCCCUUAACGAGGAACAAUUGGAGGGCAAGUCUGGUGCCAGCAGCCGCGGUAAUUCCAGCUCCAAUAGCGUAUAUUAAAGUUGUUGCAGUUAAAAAGCUCGUAGUUGAACCUUGGGCCUGGCUGGCCGGUCCGCCUCACCGCGUGCACUGGUCCGGCCGGGCCUUUCCCUCUGGGGAGCCGCAUGUCCUUUACUGGGCGUGCCGGGGAACCAGGACGUUUACUUUGAAAAAAUUAGAGUGUUCAAAGCAGGCUUAUGCUCGAAUACAUUAGCAUGGAAUAAUGGAAUAGGACGCGUGGUUCUAUUUUGUUGGUUUCUAGGACCGCCGUAAUGAUUAAUAGGGACAGUCGGGGGCAUCAGUAUUCAGCUGUCAGAGGUGAAAUUCUUGGAUUUGCUGAAGACUAACUACUGCGAAAGCAUUUGCCAAGGAUGUUUUCAUUAAUCAGGAACGAAAGUUAGGGGAUCGAAGACGAUCAGAUACCGUCGUAGUCUUAACCAUAAACUAUGCCGACUAGGGAUCGGACGGUGUUAUUCUUUGACCCGUUCGGCACCUUACACGAAAGUACAAGUUUNUGGG
Molecule: ribosomal RNA, 1026 nt
Filed under: Raffaelea sulcati
Lineage: Eukaryota; Fungi; Ascomycota; Sordariomycetes; Ophiostomatales; Ophiostomataceae
Description: SSU rRNA
Rfam family: Eukaryotic small subunit ribosomal RNA
Source: RNAcentral